UACGUAGGGUGCAAGCGUUGUCCGGAAUUAUUGGGCGUAAAGAGCUCGUAGGCGGUUUGUUGCGUCGGCUGUGAAAUCCCGAGGCUCAACCUCGGGUCUGCAGUCGAUACGAGCAAACUAGAGUGUUGCAGGGGAGACUGGAAUUCUCGGUGUAGCAGUGAAAUGCGUAGAUAUCGAGAGGAACACCAGUGGCGAAGGCGAGUCCCUGGACAACUCCUGACACUGAGGCACGAAAGCUAGGGGAGCAAACAGG
RNAcentral lists this ribosomal RNA (253 nucleotides) under uncultured bacterium. RNAcentral's name for it is "partial 16S ribosomal RNA". It matches the Rfam family "Bacterial small subunit ribosomal RNA", at positions 524 to 776 of the family's 1533-position model. The record is from RNAcentral.